This 350-nucleotide ribosomal RNA is filed under the name Acanthamoeba sp. RNAcentral describes it as "SSU rRNA". It matches the Rfam family "Eukaryotic small subunit ribosomal RNA", at positions 751 to 1075 of the family's 1831-position model. Lineage: Eukaryota; Discosea; Longamoebia; Acanthamoebidae. The record is from RNAcentral.
UUUACCGUGAAAAAAUUAGAGUGUUCAAAGCGGGCAGAUAUUUUUCCUGCCACCGAAUACAUUAGCAUGGGAUAAUGGAAUAGGACCCUGACCUCCUAUUUUCAGUUGGUUUUGUUUACAGCGAGGUUAUAUCAGGGUAAUGAUUAAUAGGGAUAGUUGGGGGCAUUAAUAUUUAAUUGUCAGAGGUGAAAUUCUUGGAUUUAUGAAAGAUUAACUUCUGCGAAAGCGUUUGCCAAGGAUGUUUUCAUUAAUCAAGAACGAAAGUUAGGGGAUCGAAGACGAUCAGAUACCGUCGUAGUCUUAACCAUAAACGAUGCCGACCAGCGAUUAGGAGACGUUGAAUACAUAAC